UUGCCCUAUUAACUCGUACAAUUUUUGAUUUUUCAUACAAGUAUAAAAUAUAUGAACUCAUAUAAGUUGCAAUUUUAUACAUUUUUACUUCCGUGAGGUGUGUGUGGCGUAAAACAUUUGUAUAUUUGCACAUUUUUUGUAUGGAACUUGUAUGGAAAUCUUUAAACUAAGUUAGCUGAACUUAGUACUUGUAUUGAAAUCAUAGUUAAUGCUAAGUUAGGUCAGCUUAGCAGUUACUACUUGUAUUGAAAAUUAUACAUUUACUAACUAAUUCAUGUAUGUAAAGUGAGUUAAUAAAUUCUGUUAGUACCUGUAUGAAAUAUUAUUAUUUCUUAUACGAGUUCACAAAAUUGAUAUUUGUAUGAGUUAAGUAUAAGUUAUACGAGUUGAAUAAAUUAGUACUUGUAUGAAUGAUAUGAACUUGUAUGAGUUAGUAAAUUUAAUACUUGUAUGAAAAUUUGCAACUUGUACUAGAAGUUAAUAAAAUUUGUACUUGUAUGGAAAGCUAUAACUUGUACGAGUUACUGAACUUAUUACUUGUAUGAAAGUUAAUGAACUUAUAUGAGUUGAUAAAUUUUAUACUUGUAUGAAAAAAUUUCCACUUAUUUUUAUAUUAGUUGUGUGAUGAUAAUAAAUUUUGAAUUACCUGUAUGAGAUUUUAAUAUUGUAUGAGAAUUUAAUACUCGUACGAAAAUUUAGAACUUGUAUGAGUUUAUAAUAUUAGUACUUGUAUGAAAUAUUUAAACUUGUAUGACUUUGAUAGAUUUAAUACAUGUAUGAAAAAUUUUAAAUGAAUUUAUAGUACAUAUUUAAGUAUUUCCAUGCAAAGUUUUGUUUUAAUUGUGUUUUUAAUCCUGGUCUUA
This 863-nucleotide unclassified non-coding RNA is filed under the name Rhagoletis zephyria (snowberry fruit fly). RNAcentral's name for it is "partial intergenic spacer". The record is from RNAcentral. Lineage: Eukaryota; Metazoa; Arthropoda; Insecta; Diptera; Tephritidae.